Podarcis lilfordi (Lilford's wall lizard) is the source of this 83-nucleotide non-coding RNA. The record is from the annotation of a GenBank genome assembly. Lineage: Eukaryota; Metazoa; Chordata; Lepidosauria; Squamata; Lacertidae.
AGGGAUAUAGUUCAGCUGGUAGACUGUGAGACUCUUAAUCUCAGGGCUGUGGGUUUGAGACCCAUAUGGGUGAAAGAUUCCUG